Molecule: ribosomal RNA, 84 nt
Filed under: uncultured bacterium
Lineage: Bacteria
Description: partial 16S ribosomal RNA
Source: RNAcentral
CCCUGUGGGGAGAGAAGAAUUAGUGUAGCCUAAUACGUUACAUGAUGACGGUAUCUCCUUAGCAAGCACCGGCUAACACUGUGC